UACACGACUGGGAUCUAUGGUCUUUUCUUGGUCAGAGGUGCAAAGUCAAGUUCCUAGUGCUCAGAUCUAUUUUUUCUUGCAUACUAGUUCAUUUUCAUUUAGACCCGGAGAGUAAAAUGUUUACUUCUUUAUGCAGAAUUGCAGAUCUUUUUCCCCUGACUCUUUCCCUCUCUGAUAUGUCACCCAGUAGGAUUCAUUUGUGCUGCUGUGGUAAAGAAAUGAAGAAAAACCUUUCCUUAAAUCCCUGUUGCAUUACUACCGAGCAAGCUGAGCGUGAAAACCUAUGUGAUUUAUUGUUGGUGUUGCAGGUUUUGUUGGUGCUCUCGAACAUUUGCUCAUUUGCUUCUGGAAUCAAAUUGCUACUUGUAUCAGGUGCUUGGAUUUUUGGUGCUGUAGGUCCUGCUGGUGUGUAUUUUAGGUUGUUGUAUCUCUUUUCAAUGUAAACAUGAGAUUGUAUCUCUUAUUUUGGGCUGCUAAAAUUUUAUAUGUAUUUUAGGCUGUAAUGAUCAUUCUAGUGUAUGGUAUGAGAAAUUGGAUUGAAUUCUGGUGUAUGGUAUGAGAAAUUGGAUUGAAUUGAUGAGCUCAAUUUUUAA
Panicum virgatum (switchgrass) is the source of this 593-nucleotide long non-coding RNA. RefSeq lists it as uncharacterized. The transcript has 2 exons. Lineage: Eukaryota; Viridiplantae; Streptophyta; Magnoliopsida; Poales; Poaceae. The record is from RefSeq and is a predicted model, not a curated record.